ACGUCGGUAAAAACGACUUCUACCGUCAGAUGGUAAAUCAACCACCUGUAUUCAUCCCACUUGCGAUGUUACUGUAGCAGUAAAUAUCUCCACUUCGAGAGCUUUCUUCGACAGCCUCGUUUUGCUCAGAUCCGGCCGCCUCAGUCUCCACCCCACGCGGCCACGCCCGUCGCCUGCUCUGAUCCGCCUCCGUUCCGGCCGCCCCCACUCCGCCGCUGUCGCUAUCUGCUCUGCGCCCCGUCUCCUCGCUCGCGGCCGGCCAAGCGGCGACCCGCGGCCGUCGCUCCCCUCACGCGGCCAUAACAGCGUCGUUGCCACCCGCCCGCGGUCGGUCCGGCAAGGCGGCGCAUGCGACCGUCCCGGCGCCAACGCUCUUCGCCCAAGGCCGGUCCGAUCCUCCGGCGCCAACGCGGCCUGCCCUACACUCCAUCUCCUCACACACGGCCGGCAAGGCGAGGGCCGUCGCUCCCCGCCUGGGGGCUGACGGGCACCCUCCUCACGCUGGGCGCCGGCAUGCCCCCAAGAGCCCUGUCCGCCAUGGCCUCUGUCGCGCGGCUCUCCCUGCCGUGCCGCCUCCCUGCACCCCUGCCCCCCCCCCCCGGCCGCUGCGCUUCGCCGCUCACCCUACGCCGCCGCAGCGCCGAUGCGCCCCUAUGCCCUCCACAGCCGGUGGAGGUCUCACGCCGCCGAGGGCGAGGCGCAGGACCAGGUCUAGCAGCUGCAGAACGAUGCUCCCAUAUUGCAGCAUCAUCGAGCGCAAGCAGAAGAAGACCAUCGACGAGAUGGAGCAGGAGUUCCUCCAGGCCAUCAUGUCCAACGAGGAGUUGGAUAACCUCAAAGAGGAGCUCAUGUGGGAAGGCAGCAGCGUUGUCAUGCUAAGUAAUAACCGCGUUCAUGCCCGGAUGAGCAAAGGCUUUUGCAAGCCACUAUGGCAAAUAUCGCUGGCAACCCCAUCAUGACGGAUACUGCUGAAUACGAUGCCCUCAACUUCAGAUUAAUAGUUAGAUCUAGCUGCCCUAUUAAUCUUUUAUUUUAGUAGUACAGUCAAAGUGAGAUGUUAUUUGAAACACUUUUAAUACUAUUUUGUCACCACCCGCCAAAUCUUUUUGCAAGAACUCGGGCUGUAAUAGAUUCUAGAUGAUCUUUGAUUUAAGUAAGACUGAGGCUGGCUUGAGCCCUAAACCUCUAAAAAAAUGUUUCUGAGAUUCACAUUUGUCUCUUCGUUUUACAGGUUCUACAUUUAAUUUUGUUUCAUCCAUUUUCAUUUUCAUUUUCUGCUUACUUGGGUUACCUGUAGUUCGAAUCAAACUAUAAGGAAGUGCUACUCACAUUAAUUUGCCCCCCUUUAGUUUUCUUGACUUCUUGAUCGACCUUGCAGAUCUAAGGAAGUGCUGAUAAUGGAUAUGUGCUUGCCAAGCUACUGACAGUUUUCAAGCAUCUAAGCAAACAGGUUCACAGCAGAUUCUUCAUUGAUAUGGACUAUUGGAUUAUAACUAACAAAUGGAAUACUGUGAAGUUUGUGCACUUCAUCCUUCACAUCGCAGAUGAAUGCUUCCAAGGAUUUUUUUCAGCUAAGGACUUUGACAAGAAUGCGUCUCCUCACUUCCAGAAAGCUGACAAAUUUUAUGAUGCCCUUGCCAGACAGCUGGUCAGUCAAGGACGUGCGUUAGAUGUUUCCACAUAUGCUCUUGAUCAGAUUUGUAUGAUACAUUGUUUAGGAAUUUAUGCUUGCUCGGUUUUCAUACCUUCAUUAGUUUUUUAUUUGUCAUGCAAACAAAGCAAGUAAGGUCACGACACCAUCCAUCAGGAGCUGGUGAUAGCAGGGUUGGUAAGCCGCAAAUAAACAUCAGCCAAGAACAAUUAGCCAAAAUAAUAUUUGCAAAUUAGUAGACGUACACGUACAGUUUUCCCCU
This is a long non-coding RNA of Panicum virgatum (switchgrass), 1913 nucleotides long. RefSeq lists it as uncharacterized. NCBI's taxonomy places the organism in Eukaryota, Viridiplantae, Streptophyta, Magnoliopsida, Poales, Poaceae. The transcript is spliced from 5 exons. The record is from RefSeq and is a predicted model, not a curated record.